CUGGCAGAAUAAACAGGUGUUUUUAAGUUUUCCCACCGUCUGAGCCAAGCAGGACCCUGUCCCCGAGCAAGAGAUGUCCCAUCCAUCCCUGACCCCCUGCCUGGGACAAGCCUUGUUGGGGGCCCCCAGCUUCAGGGCUGUGGUGGGAACAGCACCCGCAAAUGCCAGCCUCUCCUUUCUUCCCAUCCACCAGUUCACUACAAGGCCAUUUCUGGUCUUUAUGCAACAGGAAGCCCAUUUCUGGUGGGAUGUGCCUUCCAGUGCCACAGGGCCACUGACCCCACGCAUCUCUGUCCUGUCCAUCAGUGCUGGGAUGGACAGCAAGGGCGAGCCCAGUGUCUGGCAGAUAGGUGGGUGGGAACGGAGAGGGGAGAAUGCCAUCCUAAGCCUGUGUUUGGGGAGCCCCCACACGGCCUGGGUACUGCCUGGGAAACCUGUCCUAAGUAAAACAUGGGCCUCGCCUCGCCCACCGGCCUGCGAAGCCAGCGUCUCCGUGAAGGUGGAUGAAAGCACCUUUGUCCUCAUUUUGAGCUGCAAGCUGGCCACCGCGCCCGGCUGCCCUCAAGUGACUCUCUAACCCAAGACCCAGCCCCUAACAGGAGGAAGGUGGGUGCAGGGCUGGUGGGACAAAAAGAGGCCUCAGCAGGCCUGACAGACCCUUCCAGUGCGUCCCAAAGCGUGUCAAGCAGCUAGGAGGACCUGUGUCAAGCUCAAGCCAUUGUAGGUCCCCAUGAGGUAUCUGAAGCCCCUUCUUGGUGACGGGAGGCGGAGGUGCUGACAUUCUGGGGAAUGGACCUGAGUCCUCGGCUGGCUCCGCGCAGGCCCCUGAAGGGGGUGAGGUGUGUGGUGACCUUCUGGAUGCCUGUAACUUCAUGGCUGCAUCAUUCCUGAUUCAGAACUUUAGCCGGAGCUUCAUCUAGUGAUUGCAGAACCGGACCAACGGGAGGACUGCGGCGUGGCCUGGCCCCUCCCUGGAAUGGAGCUCAGCUCUUCGGAGGUGUCAGCACCUGUCGCCUCCGUGGUCCCCCUGCCGAGGGAGUGCGGCCCCCGCGAGGUUCGGGGUGACUUUGUUUGCCGGAGUGGCCGGCCCUGCGUGUGUCCUGCGGAUGUUUGUGAGCCUUGAUUCCCACAGCACUGUGUAGGCUGCGUCUGUUUCGUGCUGGUCGUGUUGAGGCGUGAUGGUUCCCCCCCAUCCCAGGAGCUCCCUACCUGUGAUUGGCUGAACACCCAGUACCCCGCCAGCCACGCUAGGGGUUGCUGCUGGAAAUGGGGGCAGCUGACUCCCUAGAAACCUCCCUGUUGGAGGAAAGAGCAUGCCUUGCCCCUGCCUGCCGGGCCCAGGCCCCCUCUCGUCCUGUGCUCUGUUCUCUGCCUGGGGGGGCUAGCCUGGGUGUCCCGGCAUGGGCUUCCUGCAGGACUUCCCAGGUCAGAGCCCUCGGGGAUAGGAGGCAGGGGCUCCCUUCCCUGCCCUCCCUGCGCGAUUCUGAGGUCCAGCUCCGGGUGUUGGCCAAGGGCGUCUGCUCCUCCUGGGUUCCACCUGGCUCCUUCACACCUGGGUGGUGACAUUGCAGGGCCUCUGGCUUGGCCGAUCUCGUGUUCCCCUGACUCGUGCACCUGUGCAAUAAACCCGCAAACUAAUAUCCAGCAA
Molecule: RNA transcript, 1648 nt
Organism: Macaca mulatta (Rhesus monkey)
Lineage: Eukaryota; Metazoa; Chordata; Mammalia; Primates; Cercopithecidae
Source: RefSeq, a predicted model, not a curated record